RNAcentral lists this ribosomal RNA (441 nucleotides) under uncultured bacterium. RNAcentral describes it as "partial 16S ribosomal RNA". It matches the Rfam family "Bacterial small subunit ribosomal RNA", at positions 338 to 795 of the family's 1533-position model. The record is from RNAcentral.
CCUACGGGUGGCAGCAGUAGGGAAUUUUGCGCAAUGGGCGAAAGCCUGACGCAGCAACGCCGCGUGAUUGAUUAAGCCCUUCGGGGUGUAAAGAACUGUCAGCGGGGACGAAACUUGACGGGACCCACAGAGGAAGCACCGGCUAAACCCGCGCCAGAAGCAGCGGUAAUCUGGAGGGCGCAAGCGUUGUCCGGAACCAUUGGGCGUAAAGAGUUCGGAGGUGGCAUAUUAAGUCUGGAGUUAAAUGCAGAGGCGCAACUUCUGUUCGGCACUGGAUACUGGUAAGCUUGAAGGCGGUAGAGGUAAAGGGAAUUCCUGGUGUAGCGGUGAAAUGCGUAGAUAUCAGGAGGAACAUCGGGGGCGUAAGCGCUUUACUGGGCCGUAAUUGACACUGAGGAACGAAAGCCGGGGUAGCAAAUGGGAUUAGAUACCCUGGUAGUC